This 811-nucleotide long non-coding RNA is filed under the name Macaca fascicularis (crab-eating macaque). RNAcentral describes it as "lncRNA (ENSMFAG00000046889.2)". Lineage: Eukaryota; Metazoa; Chordata; Mammalia; Primates; Cercopithecidae. The record is from RNAcentral.
AUGAGAGAAAAAAGUAUUUUUACUGAUAGAGAUUUUAGCUCCUCCCAAUUCUUGCUUAAAUUAUCCAACUCUUGGGUUAUAAAUUUGCUUUUUAGUGACAGCAUAGCUGCAGCCUGCAGGGUCUCUGAAGAAUGGGUCUUCAUCAGAGGACAUGUCUCCUGGCAAGGGGGCAUUUGCUGCCUGCUGCCCAGCUCUGAGCAACAGCCCGGAGCCCUGCUGGCUGCUCUCCGCACCCUGAAGCCGGCUCUGAGUUCGACCAAUGCUCAGCCUUCGCUGGUGCGGCCAGGGCCCUCAUCUGCUGCUUCCAUUUCAGUUCAAGUUCAAACUUGAACACUUGUACAAAGACUCCUUGGAUGAUCUGCUUGUGAUAUUGGAGCAUUUCCUCCUUGCUGGCUGACACAAUGGCAAGCUUUGUCAGUGAAGAGUGCCGAAGAGACACUGCAGGAGGAAGGGGCUUCUCUCCCAGUUCCAGGGUAAGUUUCUUCCCGCUGGCUUACGUGUCACUCAGCUGUUGUACAGGACACUCAGUGAAGCUCACCCCCAGCAAGUUUUGGUGGCACUUCUGUAGGCACUUUACCUGUGAGUUGUAUGGAUACUCCUUUUUCCUUCCUUUCAUGUGAUGAGUUCAGCAGCAGCCCCCACAGGUGGCUUCCAGGACACUCUUGGGAACAUUCCAGUGAGAAGAGUCUUGCCUACCAUGCAUGGCCACUGGCACUCUGGUGUGAGUUUUCCUGCUUGCCACUUCUCUCCUGCACAUCCCUGACCACCAAUUUGCACAGUAACUGUGGACCCACCUCUGGCUCAGGGCAAC